AUUGAACGCUGGCGGCAUGCCUUACACAUGCAAGUCGAACGGCAGCACGGGUGCUUGCACCUGGUGGCGAGUGGCGAACGGGUGAGUAAUACAUCGGAACAUGUCCUGUAGUGGGGGAGAGCCCGGCGAAAGCCGGAUUAAUACCGCAACCGAUCUACGGAUGAAAGCGGGGGACCUUCGGGCCUCGCGCUAUAGGGUUGGCCGAUGGCGGAUUAGCUAGUUGGUGGGGUAAAGGCCUACCAAGGCGACGAUCAGUAGCUGGUCUGAGAGGACGACCAGCCACACUGGGACUGAGACACGGCCCAGACUCCUACGGGAGGCAGCAGUGGGGAAUUUUGGACAAUGGGCGAAAGCCUGAUCCAGCAAUGCCGCGUGUGUGAAGAAGGCCUUCGGGUUGUAAAGCACUUUUGUCCGGAAAGAAAUCCUUGGCCCUAAUACGGUCGGGGGAUGACGGUACCGGAAGAAUAAGCACCGGCUAACUACGUG
This 486-nucleotide ribosomal RNA is filed under the name uncultured bacterium. RNAcentral describes it as "partial 16S ribosomal RNA". It matches the Rfam family "Bacterial small subunit ribosomal RNA", at positions 29 to 507 of the family's 1533-position model. The record is from RNAcentral.